Molecule: small nucleolar RNA, 81 nt
Organism: Cicer arietinum (chickpea)
Lineage: Eukaryota; Viridiplantae; Streptophyta; Magnoliopsida; Fabales; Fabaceae
Product: small nucleolar RNA snoR26
Source: RefSeq, a predicted model, not a curated record
AAUGUAUUGUCUAAAUUUUCUAUCCUUACACUUUGAUUGUUAGUGAAGAAACUUUUGGGGAAUUAUUACUCUGAGAUACUC